CUCUACAGGCGCGGCGCUGAUCUUUACAGGGCGAUUAGAUACGAAGAAAUGCUGGCCUGGCUGGAACACGAUCAAAUAGUUGGCCUGACGUGUGUUUUCAUUUUUUUCUCUACAGAAAACGACGAGAGCGGUCGUGGUAUGCUGGCUGAGGAGCCAUGGCUGCUUCUCUGGCCAUCGCAUAUCAACAGGUGACUCGAUCAACUCUAGGCAGUCUUCAUCGUACAGGCAAUGGAGCACUUGAAUGAGAGCCGAUGCGCUGGCGGUCUGUCAUCCGAGGGAGCUUCCAGGAAUUAUGCCCGGCAGCAGCUGAUCGCUCCGUCACGAGCCUCUCUCUCAGUGGAUAGACGCUUCAUAAUUGAGCUCCUCUCUUUCUCUACACCCAUUCAAUGAUUCAGAAGCCUCUCACUCAA
This is a long non-coding RNA of Selaginella moellendorffii, 410 nucleotides long. RefSeq lists it as uncharacterized. NCBI's taxonomy places the organism in Eukaryota, Viridiplantae, Streptophyta, Lycopodiopsida, Selaginellales, Selaginellaceae. The record is from RefSeq and is a predicted model, not a curated record. The transcript has 2 exons.